GCUGCGGCAGCGACACUAUGUGUUGUUGGGUAGGGGAGCGUUCUGUAAGCCUGUGAAGGUGUGUCGUGAGGCAUGCUGGAGGUAUCAGAAGUGCGAAUGCUGACAUAAGUAACGAUAAAGCGGGUGAAAAGCCCGCUCGCCGGAAGACCAAGGGUUCCUGUCCAACGUUAAUCGGGGCAGGGUGAGUCGACCCCUAAGGCGAGGCCGAAAGGCGUAGUCGAUGGGAAACGGGUUAAUAUUCCCGUACUUGGUGUUACUGCGAAGGGGGGACGGAGAAGGCUAUGUUGGCCGGGCGACGGUUGUCCCGGUUUAAGCGUGUAGGUGUGUGUUCCAGGUAAAUCCGGUUCACUUUAACACUGAGGCGUGACGACGAGGCACUACGGUGCUGAAGCAACAAAUGCCCUGCUUCCAGGAAAAGCCUCUAAGCAUCAGGUAACAUCAAAUCGUACCCCAAACCGACACAGGUGGUCAGGUAGAGAAUACCAAGGCGCUUGAGAGAACUCGGGUGAAGGAACUAGGCAAAAUGGUGCCGUAACUUCGGGAGAAGGCACGCUGACACGUAGGUGAAGUGAUUUACUCAUGGAGCUGAAGUCAGUCGAAGAUACCAGCUGGCUGCAACUGUUUAUUAAAAACACAGCACUGUGCAAACACGAAAGUGGACGUAUACGGUGUGACGCCUGCCCGGUGCCGGAAGGUUAAUUGAUGGGGUCAGCGCAAGCGAAGCUCCUGAUCGAAGCCCCGGUAAACGGCGGCCGUAACUAUAACGGUCCUAAGGUAGCGAAAUUCCUUGUCGGGUAAGUUCCGACCUGCACGAAUGGCGUAAUGAUGGCCAGGCUGUCUCCACCCGAGACUCAGUGAAAUUGAACUCGCUGUGAAGAUGCAGUGUACCCGCGGCAAGACGGAAAGACCCCGUGAACCUUUACUAUAGCUUGACACUGAACAUUGAGCCUUGAUGUGUAG
RNAcentral lists this ribosomal RNA (960 nucleotides) under Salmonella enterica. Its description in RNAcentral is "partial 23S ribosomal RNA". It matches the Rfam family "Bacterial large subunit ribosomal RNA", at positions 1199 to 2141 of the family's 2925-position model. The record is from RNAcentral. Lineage: Bacteria; Pseudomonadati; Pseudomonadota; Gammaproteobacteria; Enterobacterales; Enterobacteriaceae.